GACGAACGCUGGCGGCGUGCUUAACACAUGCAAGUCGAACGGAAAGGCCCUGCUUUUGUGGGGUGCUCGAGUGGCGAACGGGUGAGUAACACGUGAGUAACCUGCCCUUGACUUUGGGAUAACUUCAGGAAACUGGGGCUAAUACCGGAUAGGAGCUCCUGCUGCAUGGUGGGGGUUGGAAAGUUUCGGCGGUUGGGGAUGGACUCGCGGCUUAUCAGCUUGUUGGUGGGGUAGUGGCUUACCAAGGCUUUGACGGGUAGCCGGCCUGAGAGGGUGACCGGCCACAUUGGGACUGAGAGACGGCCCAGACUCCUACGGGAGGCAGCAGUGGGGAAUAUUGCACAAUGGGCGGAAGCCUGAUGCAGCAACGCCGCGUGCGGGAUGACGGCCUUCGGGUUGUAAACCGCUUUCGCCUGUGACGAAGCGUUAGUGACGGUAAUGGGUAAAGAAGCACCGGCUAACUACGUG
Molecule: ribosomal RNA, 468 nt
Filed under: uncultured bacterium
Lineage: Bacteria
Description: partial 16S ribosomal RNA
Rfam family: Bacterial small subunit ribosomal RNA
Source: RNAcentral